UGGUGGAGUGAUUUGUCUGGUUAAUUCCGUUAACGAACGAGGCCUCAGCCUGCUAAGUAGUAUGCGUUUUCUUACGAAAGCGUAAGACUUCUUAGAGGGACAUUUUGGUUUUACCAAAAGGAAGUUUGAGGCAAUAACA
Molecule: ribosomal RNA, 139 nt
Filed under: uncultured eukaryote
Lineage: Eukaryota
Description: partial 18S ribosomal RNA
Rfam family: Eukaryotic small subunit ribosomal RNA
Source: RNAcentral